RNAcentral lists this ribosomal RNA (254 nucleotides) under uncultured bacterium. RNAcentral describes it as "partial 16S ribosomal RNA". It matches the Rfam family "Bacterial small subunit ribosomal RNA", at positions 524 to 776 of the family's 1533-position model. The record is from RNAcentral.
UACGGAGGGUGCGAGCGUUGUCCGGAAUCAUUGGGCGUAAAGGGCGCGUAGGUGGCGGGACAAGCGUGCGGUGAAAGCCUGGGGCUCAACCCCGGGUCGGCCGUGCGAACUGUUUUUGCUUGAGCACUGUAGAGGCAGGCGGAAUUCCGAGUGUAGAGGUGAAAUUCGUAGAUAUUCGGAAGAACACCAGUGGCGAAGGCGACUUACUGGACACAUAUUGACGCUGAGGUGCGAAAGCGUGGGGAGCAAACAGG